This 497-nucleotide ribosomal RNA is filed under the name uncultured bacterium. RNAcentral describes it as "partial 16S ribosomal RNA". It matches the Rfam family "Bacterial small subunit ribosomal RNA", at positions 28 to 507 of the family's 1533-position model. The record is from RNAcentral.
GGUGAACGCUGGCGGCGUGCCUAAUACAUGCAAGUCGAGCGAACGGACGAGAAGAUUGCUUCUCUGAUGUUAGCGGCGGACGGGUGAGUAACACGUGGAUAACCUACCUAUAAGACUGGGAUAACUUCGGGAAACCGGAGCUAAUACCGGAUAAUAUUUUGAACCGCAUGGUUCAAAAGUGAAAGACGGUCUUGCUGUCACUUAUAGAUGGAUCCGCGCUGCAUUAGCUAGUUGGUAAGGUAACGGCUUACCAAGGCAACGAUGCAUAGCCGACCUGAGAGGGUGAUCGGCCACACUGGAACUGAGACACGGUCCAGACUCCUACGGGAGGCAGCAGUAGGGAAUCUUCCGCAAUGGGCGAAAGCCUGACGGAGCAACGCCGCGUGAGUGAUGAAGGUCUUCGGAUCGUAAAACUCCGUUAUUAGGGAAGAACAUAUGUGUAAGUAACUGUGCACAUCUUGACGGUACCUAAUCAGAAAGCCACGGCUAACUACGUG